GGGGAAUUUGCUCGGUUGCCCUUGGGGAUUAAUUGGAUCCGUUUCCACUCUGUGUUUCUCCAAAUCUAGGAGGAAGGCUUAGAUUAGCUUUUUUUUGAUGCUGCUGCUGCAGCUCUUCCUCAACGCCUUCCCAAAGAGGUAGCUCUGCCUCUGAGCAAGAUUCUUCCCCCUCUCUGGUGAAAGUGAAAUUUGCCUGUUCCUGCAUCAAGAGGAACUGUUUAAUAAUGUGUGCCUGUUUUACAGCAACACAGUCAAACACUUUCAGAUUGUGCUCUUGCUAGUAGAUGGUCAUAUACACGAAAGAUUCUCGCUCAGAACUGCCUGUAGAGAGUGACUCUGCCUCCUCCUUAGCUGCUUCCUACCUUCUGAGCUUGUAGCCCAUGACUCCAUGCUAUAAGGGCUGCUCUCAAUCCCUGCUCUGCAGAAGCAGCCCACUUGCCCUACACUCCUCCCUGAGUGUGGGAAGCGAAGAUGCAAGCGCCAUCCAGGGCUGAAUAGAGCUGCCAUGAAUCACUGAGCUGGUCUGGUAGGGCCAGAGUGACCCAGCUACCCACUCAGAGUAGUAGGUGGUUUGUUUAUUUGUCAUGUGAGCCUUAAAAAUCAACAUUUCCCAAGUCUUAAAAAGCCAACCAACUAACCAACCAACCAACCAACCAACCAAUCAACCAACCAACCAACCAACUAACCAACCAACCAACCAACCAACCAACCAACCAAUUAACCAACCAACCAACCAAUCAACCAACCAACCAACCAACCAACCAGAAAAACAAACAAACAAAAAAACCCAAUCAAUGUUCACUCUGCCUUGAUUUUCUUCUGUUCAUCUUCUGGAAGAGAGGACACAGAAACCUCCUAAGCAAAGAGGACCAUUUCAGAAGCCCAAGGGCAAACCUAGGGAUGUUUCAGAAGCCCGUUUUUAAUUUCAUGGGAACCAGUGUCUCUGGGAAGAUCAUGCCCUCAGUCUGGCUAGUACAACUGGGAAAGAAGACUGCUAAGCUGAUAUAAUGAGAUAAUAUCCUUCACUGGCAUAAGUAAGGCUACGAGAUGGACUGCUACCCACAUUGGUAAUUAUACAUGCUCCAUUUCCACAACUGGAACCAGAAUGAAUGCUCUGCAGCAUUUUACUCUCUCUGAAUAACAUUAACUGAAAAAAACCCCAAGUGAGUAACUUGUUUACGUAUUAGUGUUGGAGGAAACAACCUGAGCUGGCUGUCCUUGAGUCUGUGGAGUCAAACUCAUUCAGCAAGCACUUAGCACAGGAUGAAGGAGGAAGCCAUUUUACCACCUGCACAUAAAACUAGUGUGCCAGCUCUGCCAUUCCACAGAGGUGCCAGCUUCAGGUUCUGUAUAUCCUGGGAAAGGAGCAGACAGCAGAGAGAGCAUCACAGAUUUGUCCAGUUGUGUGAUACAAGCUUCAUAGGUGAGCAAAAGUGACACUUCCAUCCCAUCUUGUCUGUGUGAGCCCAAAACACUCCGUGAAUAUCAGAAGUUUUAGGGUGAGACACGUUAGUAUGACACGUUAUAAGAGGCAAAGAUGUAGCCUGUGGUAUUAUGGGCAAUAGAUGGGUCCAAAUCACCUUCUAGAAAUCUUUUCUGACUAAUGAAGUGAUGCAAAUCCAUCUUUUCUGACGAAUGAAGGGAUGCAAAUCCAUCUUUUCUGACAAAUGAAGGGAUGCAAAUCCACACACUGCCUGUCUGGCCGCACUGACAUCACUGGUAGCACAACUAGUACAGUUUGCUGUUGAGACUGAGAGGCAGAACUUCUGGUUAAAAGUACAUGCCCAGUCAGAGCAGGUCAGUGCUGCAGACAAAUGAAGCCCCCAGUGGUCCCUGUGCCUGCACUGGCCACAAAGCAGCUAAAAACAUUCUGAGAGGAAAACUGCCAUGGUAGCCCAGCAGUUCCUUAGUCCCUCCUUGUGUGACUGCAAGCAGGGCUGCCCACGGUGCCUCAGGAGCAUGUACACUGCCAUCAUCUGCAGGCAGGGGUCCACCCUGCCAUUUGGGA
Molecule: long non-coding RNA, 2008 nt
Filed under: Cyanistes caeruleus (blue tit)
Lineage: Eukaryota; Metazoa; Chordata; Aves; Passeriformes; Paridae
Description: lncRNA (ENSCCEG00000019536.1)
Source: RNAcentral